RNAcentral lists this small RNA (127 nucleotides) under Marmota monax (woodchuck). The record is from RNAcentral. Lineage: Eukaryota; Metazoa; Chordata; Mammalia; Rodentia; Sciuridae.
GCUGGACAUGGUGGCACAUGUUUGUAAUCCCAGAGUCUCAGGAGGCUGAGGCAGGAGGAUCACGAGUUCAAAGCCAGCCUCAGCAAUUUAUCCAGGCACUAAGCAACUCAGUGAGACCUGGUCUCUA